This 459-nucleotide ribosomal RNA is filed under the name uncultured bacterium. RNAcentral's name for it is "bacterial SSU rRNA". It matches the Rfam family "Bacterial small subunit ribosomal RNA", at positions 28 to 521 of the family's 1533-position model. The record is from RNAcentral.
GAUGAACGCUGGCGGCGUGCCUAAUACAUGCAAGUCGUGCGGAAAGGCCACUUCGGUGGUACUCGAGCGGCGGACGGCGGAGUAACGCGUAGGAACAUACCCCAAACUGAGGCAUAACUGCUCGAAAGAGCAGCUAAUACCGCAUGUGAUCAUCGGAUUAAAGCUUCGGCGGUUUGGGAAUGGCCUGCGUCCGAUUAGCUAGUUGGUGAGGUAAAUGCUCACCAAGGCUUCGAUCGGUAGCUGGUCUGAGAGGAUGAUCAGCCUGGCUGGAACUGAGAACGGUCCAGACUCCUACGGGAGGCAGCAGUAGGGAAUUUUCCACAAUGGGCGAAAGCCUGAUGGAGCAACGCCGCGUGCAGGAUGAAUGCCUUCGGUUGUAAACUGCUUUUAUUAGUGAAGAAUAUGACGGUAACUAAUAGAAUAAAGGGUCGGGCUAACUAACGUGCCAGCAGCCGCGGU